CCUACGGGUGGCAGCAGUGGGGAAUAUUGGACAAUGGGGGGAACCCUGAUCCAGCCAUGCCGCGUGUGUGAAGAAGGCCCUCGGGUUGUAAAGCACUUUCAGUGAGGAAGAACGCCUGGUGGUUAAUACCCAUCAGGAAAGACAUCACUCACAGAAGAAGCACCGGCUAACUCCGUGCCAGCAGCCGCGGUAAUACGGAGGGUGCGAGCGUUAAUCGGAAUUACUGGGCGUAAAGCGCGCGUAGGUGGCUUGAUAAGCCGGUUGUGAAAGCCCCGGGCUCAACCUGGGAACGGCAUCCGGAACUGUCAAGCUAGAGUGCAGGAGAGGAAGGUAGAAUUCCCGGUGUAGCGGUGAAAUGCGUAGAGAUCGGGAGGAAUACCAGUGGCGAAGGCGGCCUUCUGGACUGACACUGACACUGAGGUGCGAAAGCGUGGGUAGCAAACAGGAUUAGAUACCUCAGUAGUC
This 465-nucleotide ribosomal RNA is filed under the name Vreelandella stevensii. RNAcentral's name for it is "partial 16S ribosomal RNA". It matches the Rfam family "Bacterial small subunit ribosomal RNA", at positions 338 to 795 of the family's 1533-position model. Lineage: Bacteria; Pseudomonadati; Pseudomonadota; Gammaproteobacteria; Oceanospirillales; Halomonadaceae. The record is from RNAcentral.